UGAGUAACCUGCCCUUCACUCUGGGAUAACUCCGGGAAACCGGGGCUAAUACUGGAUAUGACUCGAACAGGCAUCUGUUUCGGGUGGAAAGAUUUAUUGGUGGAGGAUGGACUCGCGGCCUAGCAGCUUGUUGGUGAGGUAAUGGCUCACCAAGGCGACGACGGGUAGCCGGCCUGAGAGGGUGUCCGGCCACACGUGGGACUGGGAUACCGGCCCAGACCUCCGUACGGGAGGCA
Molecule: ribosomal RNA, 236 nt
Filed under: uncultured bacterium
Lineage: Bacteria
Description: partial 16S ribosomal RNA
Rfam family: Bacterial small subunit ribosomal RNA
Source: RNAcentral